RNAcentral lists this ribosomal RNA (253 nucleotides) under uncultured bacterium. Its description in RNAcentral is "partial 16S ribosomal RNA". It matches the Rfam family "Bacterial small subunit ribosomal RNA", at positions 524 to 776 of the family's 1533-position model. The record is from RNAcentral.
UACGAAGGGGGCUAGCGUUGCUCGGAAUUACUGGGCGUAAAGCGAGUGUAGGCGGUCUGAUAAGUCGGGUGUGAAAGCCCCGGGCUCAACCCGGGAAGUGCACUCGAAACUGACAGGCUAGAGUAUCGGAGAGGUUGGUGGAAUUCUCGGUGUAGAGGUGAAAUUCGUAGAUAUCGAGAGGAACACCGGGGGCGAAGGCGGCCAACUGGACGAAUAAUGACGCUGAGACUCGAAAGCGUGGGGAGCAAACCGG